UGAGAGGUGAACAGGUUUGACCCCACUUGA
RNAcentral lists this non-coding RNA (30 nucleotides) under Homo sapiens (human). Lineage: Eukaryota; Metazoa; Chordata; Mammalia; Primates; Hominidae. The record is from RNAcentral.